GUACACCUUCCACCGUUAACACAUAUACUAAAAUUGGAAUGAUACAGAGAAGAUUAACAUGCUCCUUGCACAAGAAUAACAUGCAAAUUUGUGAAGUGUUUCAUUUAAAA
This is a small nuclear RNA of Gorilla gorilla gorilla (western lowland gorilla), 110 nucleotides long. The record is from Rfam. Lineage: Eukaryota; Metazoa; Chordata; Mammalia; Primates; Hominidae.